AGCAGCCGCGGUAAUUCCAGCUCCAAUAGCGUAUAUUAAAGUUGUUGCAGUUAAAAAGCUCGUAGUUGAAUUUCGGGGUUAGUAGGUUGGUCAUGCCUCUGGUAUGUACUGGUCUCACUGAUUCCUCCUUCCUGAUGAGCCGUAAUGCCAUUAAUUUGGUGUUGCGGGGAAUUUGGACUGUUACUUUGAAAAAAUUAGAGUGUUUAAAGCAAGCUAACGCUUGAAUACAUUAGCAUGGAAUAAUGAAAUAGGACGUUCGAUCCUAUUUUGUUGGUUUCUAGGAUUGACGUAAUGAUUAAUAGGGAUAGUUGGGGGCAUUAGUAUUCAAUUGUCAGAGGUGAAAUUCUUGGAUUUAUUGAAGACUAACUACUGCGAAAGCAUUUGCCAAGGAUGUUUUCAUUAAUCAAGAGCGAAAGUUAGGGGAUCGAAGACGAUCAGAUACCGUCGUAGUCUUAACCAUAAACUAUGCCGACUAGGGAUCGGAUGAUGUUAAUUUUUUAAUGACUCACUCGGCGCCUUACG
This 522-nucleotide ribosomal RNA is filed under the name uncultured Glomeromycotina. RNAcentral's name for it is "SSU rRNA". It matches the Rfam family "Eukaryotic small subunit ribosomal RNA", at positions 569 to 1092 of the family's 1831-position model. The record is from RNAcentral. Lineage: Eukaryota; Fungi; Glomeromycota.